UUUGCACAUAUUUGUUUCAGUUUAUUUAUAUCCCAUCUCCUCCCCCCCGCCAAAGAAUCAAAAUGUUGUACACGUGGUUCUGCCCCUCCUCAUUUAAGCUCAACAACAACCCUGUGAGGUAGCUUAGGCUGAGAGGCAGUGGGUCCAAGGUCACCCAAUGAGGUUCAUGGCCAAGUGGAGAUUUGAACUCAGGUCUCCUAGGUCCUAGCUUGGCACACAAGCCACUGCCCCGCACUGGCUCUCUGAUUUAGGAUACCUGUGAACCAAUGCAAUGUUCAGGAGGCACUCUGGCUGAAACCAGAACUCCCAUAGGAGGACAAGGCAUUUCUUGCCACGGGGCAUUAUUAGAUGGCUCAGAGCUUCAUGUUAACCAGUCGCCGGGCAUGCUGUGUCGUCUGUCCGCUCCUGGUAAAAAAUGGUUGCUAGGAGGACAAUGUUCCAUGGAUACUCGCUGCUAGAGCCCAUAGUGUUCUAUAGAAAGUGGUUGCUAGGGGGACAUUGUUUCUGCAAUGCUUCUACUCUUAUUGCUCCCCUCUUUCCUUCAGAGAUGUCGCAGAAGACUGAACAGCUCCCCCAGGAAACAGUAGACUCAUGCAAGCAAGCCCCUCUGUGUCAGCUCUGAAAGUAAGGCUGAGGGUAUUGAUUGAAUUAUUAUUAUUAUUAUUAUUAUUAUUAUUAUUAUUAUUAUUAUUUAUACCCCGCCUAUAUGGCUGGCUUUCCCCAGCCACUCUGGGCGGCUUCCAACAAAACACUAAAAUACAAUAACCUAUUAAACAUUAAAAGCUUCCCUAAACAGGGCUGCCUUCAGAUGUCUUCCAAAAGUCAGAUAGUUGUUUAUCUCCUUGAUAUCUGGUGGGAGGGCGUUCCACAGGACGGGUGCCACUACCGAGAAGGCCCUCUGCCUGGCUCCCUGUAACUUAGCUUCUCGCAGCAAGGGAACUGCCAGAAGGCCCUCGGCGCUGGACCUCAGUGUCCGGGCUGAACGAUGGAGGUGGAAUAAGCUCAGAAUGGUUAGAUCUGGCACUUGUUAUGCUGCAAGGAUGGAGAACCUUUUCCAGUUCAAGGGCCACCUUCAGCUGUGGGUGGGGCCAGCGGCAUAAGUGGCAGAACCGCAAAUGUAUAUUUUGCUGUUGUACAGUAGGCUACUUUCCACAAACACCCACGCUCUACCCCCGCAUCCAAGCCAGUUGAAAACAUUCAAAUGCCUUCCAGCCAGAUGAAACUUUCAAGGAGGGAGUGCACCUUUGGGAGUGAAGUCAAACUGCUCUGUUAGCAGCACUGAAGUGCAAGCCUGGGCAGUGUGUCUGAAGGUCCUGGGAUGCCCAGACGACAAGACACCCCCCCUCUCAAGCCCGCUGGUGUGGUCCAAAGGAAAGCAGAGCAAAACAUUUGGUAGCAGCUUGGAGUUGCCGGAAGGAGGCGUACAAGGCCUCAUCCAACCACCUUAUGGACUCCACUCCGGAUUUGUGUAGGGUUUACUCCUUAGCCUUUACUUCUCCUGAAGAUAUCCGGCAAGGCAGCAGAGGCUGAGGACCAGAGCUUUCCUUCUUCCAGAUGGGCUACCUGUGGGAUGUGAAACACAAGAGCAGUCAACAUCCCUAGAGUAGACAUAAAAGGGGAUGUCUGGACCAGCCAGUCAGAACUUCCUGUUUCUCCUAGGCUGGGACAGACUUCCUCUGCAUGUGACUAGAGGUGGCAUGGCCUCACCUGCCCAGGUAACAAAAGAGCAGGACUGGUCAGCCAUCUCUCUCUCUCUGACUGCAUUCGUCGAAGAAGCAACAUCUGCCUAGCCUAAGAUGCUCUCAGCCACGAGAGGACAAAGGGACUGUCUCUUUAUGGGAUAGAUUCCAGGUAUAUUAGUUUUCUAACUUAAGUGUGCCUUCUGGGGUCCAUUUGUGAACAGAAUGUGAGUGCGUAAACUCUUUUUAUACUUUCAUAGAUGACUGUGUCGUGUCUAUCUUUUUAUGAGGGACUAAAGGGGAAAUUACCAAGGAAACUUAUUUUAGAGGCUUUAGCGAGCCUGAGCAAACACAUCCACUGUGCAAGUUUAGAAAGGGGAAUGUUACUCUGCUAAAUUGUAGAACUUGUUAACACAAGUUGGAAAGGAUAUAAUCAAACAAUAUAUCCUCUCCUGCAUCCCUGAACAUUCCCACGCUACCUUCCAAGGUUGACAAGCCCCAUCUGCCCCUCACUUCCAUCUACAGCACUUGAAGAAACCGCCUUCUGGACUGCUGGAGCCACAAUUGGUCUCAUCUGCUCAAUCUCCCGGAGGCUGUCUUUGCAUGCAAGUCCAACAACAGCUGUGGGACCUCAAGCAUGAAUACGGUAGACUCCAAUUUCUGUAAUUGCUGA
Molecule: long non-coding RNA, 2352 nt
Filed under: Podarcis lilfordi (Lilford's wall lizard)
Lineage: Eukaryota; Metazoa; Chordata; Lepidosauria; Squamata; Lacertidae
Source: RNAcentral